CCUACGGGUGGGCAGCAGUGGGGAAUAUUGCGCAAUGGGCGAAAGCCUGACGCAGCGACGCCGCGUGAGGGAUGAAGGUCUUCGGAUCGUAAACCUCUGUCAGCAGGGAAGAACGGUCACUGUGCUAAUCAGCAGUGCAUUGACGGUACCUGCAAAGGAAGCACCGGCUAACUCCGUGCCAGCAGCAGCGGUAAUAAGGCGGGUGCGAGCGUUAAUCGGAAUUACUGGGCGUAAAGGGCUCGUAGGCGGUAUGUCAAGUCAAGAGUGAAAUGCCCGCGCUCAACGUGGGAACUGCCGUUGAAACUGGCAAACUGGAGUGUGUGAGAGGAUAGUGGAAUGCCAGGUGUAGGAGUGAAAUCCGUAGAUAUCUGGCGGAACACCAGUGGCGAAGGCGACGAUCUGGCACAUCACUGACGCUGAGGAGCGAAAGCGUGGGUAGCAAACAGGAUUAGAUACCCCAGUAGUC
This 466-nucleotide ribosomal RNA is filed under the name uncultured bacterium. RNAcentral describes it as "partial 16S ribosomal RNA". It matches the Rfam family "Bacterial small subunit ribosomal RNA", at positions 338 to 795 of the family's 1533-position model. The record is from RNAcentral.